GUGCUUGCUUAGGCAGCACAUAUAUUAAAGUCGGAACCAACCAUACAAAGAAGAUUUGCGUGGGCCCGAAGCAAGGAUGACACCGAAAUUCGUGAAAUAAAAAAUAAAUAA
Small nuclear RNA from Mus pahari (shrew mouse), 111 nucleotides. Lineage: Eukaryota; Metazoa; Chordata; Mammalia; Rodentia; Muridae. The record is from RefSeq and is a predicted model, not a curated record.